RNAcentral lists this ribosomal RNA (767 nucleotides) under uncultured fungus. Its description in RNAcentral is "eukaryotic LSU rRNA". It matches the Rfam family "Eukaryotic large subunit ribosomal RNA", at positions 30 to 821 of the family's 3401-position model. The record is from RNAcentral. Lineage: Eukaryota; Fungi.
GAACUUAAGCAUAUCAAUAAGCGGAGGAAAAGAAACCAACAGGGAUUGCCUUAGUAACGGCGAGUGAAGCGGCAACAGCUCAAAUUUGAAAUCUGCCUCUAGGCCGAGUUGUAAUUUGUAGAAGAUGCUUCGGGUGUGGCACUGGUCUAAGUUCCUUGGAACAGGACGUCAUAGAGGGUGAGAAUCCCGUACGUGACUGGCUGCCUUCGCCCAUGUGAAGCUCUUUCGACGAGUCGAGUUGUUUGGGAAUGCAGCUCAAAAUGGGUGGUAUAUUUCAUCUAAAGCUAAAUAUUGGCCAGAGACCGAUAGCGCACAAGUAGAGUGAUCGAAAGAUGAAAAGCACUUUGGAAAGAGAGUUAAACAGUACGUGAAAUUGUUGAAAGGGAAGCGCUUGCAACCAGACUUGCGCGCCGUCGAUCAUCCGAGGUUUUCCCCGGUGCACUCGGCGGUGCUCAGGCCAGCAUCGGUUUCGGUGGUUAGAUAAAGGCCUUGGGAAUGUGGCUCCUCCGGGAGUGUUAUAGCCCUCGGUGCAAUGUAGCCUACCGGGACCGAGGACCGCGCUUCGGCUAGGAUGCUGGCGUAAUGGUUGUAAGCGACCCGUCUUGAAACACGGACCAAGGAGUCUAACAUCUAUGCGAGUGUUUGGGUGUCAAACCCAUGCGCGUAAUUAACGUGAACGGAGGUGAGAACCCUUAAGGGUGCAUCAUCGACCGAUCCUGAUGUCUUCGGAUGGAUUUGAGUAAGAGCAUAACUGUUGGGACCCGAAA